UACAGAGGGGGCAAGCGUUGUUCGGAAUUACUGGGCGUAAAGGGCGCGUAGGCGGCCUUCUAAGUCGAACGUGAAAUCCCCGGGCUCAACCCGGGAACUGCGUCCGAUACUGGGAGGCUUGAAUCCGGGAGAGGGAUGCGGAAUUCCAGGUGUAGCGGUGAAAUGCGUUGAUAUCUGGAGGAACACCGGUGGCGAAGGCGGCAUCCUGGACCGACACUGACGCUGAGGAGCGAAAGCCAGGGGAGCAAACGGG
This 253-nucleotide ribosomal RNA is filed under the name uncultured bacterium. RNAcentral's name for it is "partial 16S ribosomal RNA". It matches the Rfam family "Bacterial small subunit ribosomal RNA", at positions 524 to 776 of the family's 1533-position model. The record is from RNAcentral.